RNAcentral lists this ribosomal RNA (475 nucleotides) under uncultured bacterium. Its description in RNAcentral is "SSU rRNA". It matches the Rfam family "Bacterial small subunit ribosomal RNA", at positions 26 to 518 of the family's 1533-position model. The record is from RNAcentral.
AGGACGAACGCUGGCGGCGUGCUUAACACAUGCAAGUCGAACGGAAAGGCCCUUCGGGGUACUCGAGUGGCGAACGGGUGAGUAACACGUGGGUGAUCUGCCCCGCACUUUGGGAUAAGCCUGGGAAACUGGGUCUAAUACCGAAUAGGACCAUGGGAUGCAUGUCCUGUGGUGGAAAGCUUUUGCGGUGUGGGAUGGGCCCGCGGCCUAUCAGCUUGUUGGUGGGGUUAAGGCCUACCAAGGCGACGACGGGUAGCCGGCCUGAGAGGGUGUCCGGCCACACUGGGACUGAGAUACGGCCCAGACUCCUACGGGAGGCAGCAGUGGGAAUAUUGCACAAUGGGCGCAAGCCUGAUGCAGCGACGCCGCGUGGGGGAUGACGGCCUUCGGGUUGUAAACCUCUUUCAGUAGGGACGAAGCGCAAGUGACGGUACCUACAGAAGAAGACACCGGCCAACUACGUGCCAGCAGCCGC